GGACAUAUAGCUCAGUUGGUUAGAGCACAGCACUCAUAAUGCUGGGGUCGCUAGUUCGAAUCUAGCUAUGUCCACCA
Molecule: transfer RNA, 77 nt
Filed under: Ignatzschineria indica
Lineage: Bacteria; Pseudomonadati; Pseudomonadota; Gammaproteobacteria; Cardiobacteriales; Ignatzschineriaceae
Description: tRNA-Ile
Rfam family: tRNA
About the family: Transfer RNA (tRNA) molecules are approximately 80 nucleotides in length. Their secondary structure includes four short double-helical elements and three loops (D, anti-codon, and T loops). Further hydrogen bonds mediate the characteristic L-shaped molecular structure. tRNAs have two regions of fundamental functional importance: the anti-codon, which is responsible for specific mRNA codon recognition, and the 3' end, to which the tRNAs corresponding amino acid is attached (by aminoacyl-tRNA synthetases). tRNAs cope with the degeneracy of the genetic code in two manners: having more than one tRNA (with a specific anti-codon) for a particular amino acid; and 'wobble' base-pairing, i.e. permitting non-standard base-pairing at the 3rd anti-codon position.
Source: RNAcentral